Molecule: long non-coding RNA, 1022 nt
Organism: Populus trichocarpa (black cottonwood)
Lineage: Eukaryota; Viridiplantae; Streptophyta; Magnoliopsida; Malpighiales; Salicaceae
Exons: 2
Source: RefSeq, a predicted model, not a curated record
ACUUAAUUGAAUGAUGCUCAUCCGAUAAAGUUUGGCUGAGGUUUGACCAAUUUACUAAAAUCUAGUCCAAAUCAAUCAGGUUUUAUUAGACUAAUAUCUUUUUAUGAUUUAACUUGAUAUUGAUCGGAUCAGACUCUAGGUUGCAUAACUAUGUUCUUAUCUGCUAUCCUUUCCCUCUCUUUUAAAGGAUUGAUCAUGAGCUUGGUGCCUAAGAAUGGCAUCAAGAAUAAAUGAUGUUCUAGUCUUUGCUUGCAUCUAAAACUUGAGCAAAAGAUCCGCUGUCUGUUUUGGAUUCUUCAUGGAGGAAUAAACAAGGUCAUACGUUCUAGUCAUCUAGAAGAAAAGAACAGUGUUGCCCAAUGCAGCUCCCCAUCUCUGCACUAAAGUUGAAGGAAAAUGGACUGACACCGCCUUGAUGAUUCAUCAAUCUACCUAAUUAGUCUGCAAGUUUUUACAGGUUCACAUCAAGGUUUAUGGUCCAUAAAUUUGGGGAUUUUUUUCUAAAAUCCAUUUCUGAAAGACAAAACUCAGGUUGGCCCAUAUGAGGUCGUGAUAUACUGUACAGAAUUCAAAGACAAUCAUCCGCUCCUUGCAGGAACUUCCUGAUACAGUCUAAAUCCAAGGAAAAUUCUGAUAUCACAAUCAUUGGUUCUGUUUCAGAGAAAAUUCUUGGCAAGAAAACGGAGAUCUCAGAACCCUCAAAAGUUCCCGACAACAAUGCUCGCAUGGGAAACUGCCCUUAGCUCGAGGCAGAUAAUUUCCCUUUUUUGCAGCCUGUCUCCAGAGUAGAGAUGGGGCAUCUCGAAUAAAAACUACAUAUAUAGUUUUCUUGAGCUCUGAAGAACAUAUAAUAUCAGCCAAUCCUUUCUGCUUACUGAAUCUGUAACUGUUGCCCAAAAUGAAACAAGCAGGCUCCUCCUAGACUCGCAUAUCCCAUGUUGCCUUACGAGAGUUUCCAGCUUUGAUGUCCUCCAAAUAACUGUAUGAACCGGUUUGUGAUCAUAUAUUUUCUACGUUUUAAA